UUUUGCAUAUACUUCAAAACGGAGGAAAAGAAACCAACAGGGAUUGCCUCAGUAACGGCGAGUGAAGCGGCAACAGCUCAAAUUUGAAAUCUGGCCUCCCGGGGUCCGAGUUGUAAUUUGUAGAGGAUGUUUUGGGUACCGCCCCGGUUUAAAUUUCUUGGAACAGAAUGUCAGAGAGGGUGAGAAUCCCGUCUUGGACCGGUGGUAGGGCCUGUGUAAAACUCCUUCGACGAGUCGAGUUGUUUGGGAAUGCAGCUCAAAAUGGGUGGUAAAUUUCAUCUAAAGCUAAAUAUUGGCCAGAGACCGAUAGCGCACAAGUAGAGUGAUCGAAAGAUGAAAAGAACUUUGAAAAGAGAGUUAAACAGUAUGUGAAAUUGUUGAAAGGGAAGCGCUUGCAACCAGACUUGAGCGCGACGGUUCCCCUAGCCUUUUGGCUAGGUUACUCCGUCGUGUCCAGGCCAACAUCGGUUCUGAGGGUCGGUCAAAGGCUCUGGGAAUGUAUCUACCCACGGGUAGACUUAUAGACCAGGGUGUCAUGCGACCUCUCGGGACCGAGGAACGCGCUUCGGCUCGGAUGUUGGCGUAAUGGUUGUCAGCGACCCGUCUUAAUCGGAACCAAAAACGGCUUGCUGAUGUAGCUAGGUCACUCGAGUCUAGUCGCCUACUAGAACUGUAAUCUACUUUGGUUAUUGGCUUAAUGACUCUAAAUGGCCCGUCUUGAACCACGGGACCA
This 733-nucleotide ribosomal RNA is filed under the name Cladophialophora carrionii. Its description in RNAcentral is "LSU rRNA". The stretch from base 1 to 613 matches the Rfam family "Eukaryotic large subunit ribosomal RNA", at positions 34 to 664 of the family's 3401-position model. The record is from RNAcentral. Lineage: Eukaryota; Fungi; Ascomycota; Eurotiomycetes; Chaetothyriales; Herpotrichiellaceae.